CCUACGGGUGGCAGCAGUCGAGAAUCAUUCACAAUGGGGGAAACCCUGAUGGUGCGACGCCGCGUGGGGGAAUGAAGGUCUUCGGAUUGUAAACCCCUGUUAUGUGGGAGCAAAUUAAAAAGAUAGUACCACAAGAGGAAGAGACGGCUAACUCGGUGCCAGCAGCCGCGGUAAUACAGAGGUCUCAAGCGUUGUUCGGAAUCACUGGGCGUAAAGCGUGCGUAGGCUGUUUCGUAAGUCGUGUGUGAAAGGCGCGGGCUCAACCCGCGGACGGCACAUGAUACUGCGAGACUAGAGUAAUGGAGAGGGAACCGGAAUUCUCGGUGUAGCAGUGAAAUGCUUAGAUAUCGAGAAGAACCCUCGUGGCGAAGGCGGGUUCCUGGACAUUAACUGACGCUGAGGCACGAAGGCCAGGGUAGCGAAAAGGAUUAGAUACCCGGGUAGUC
RNAcentral lists this ribosomal RNA (446 nucleotides) under uncultured bacterium. RNAcentral describes it as "partial 16S ribosomal RNA". It matches the Rfam family "Bacterial small subunit ribosomal RNA", at positions 338 to 795 of the family's 1533-position model. The record is from RNAcentral.